RNAcentral lists this ribosomal RNA (405 nucleotides) under uncultured soil bacterium. Its description in RNAcentral is "bacterial SSU rRNA". It matches the Rfam family "Bacterial small subunit ribosomal RNA", at positions 26 to 438 of the family's 1533-position model. The record is from RNAcentral.
AGGACGAACGCUGGCGGCGUGCUUAACACAUGCAAGUCGAGCGGUAAGGCCUUUCGGGGUACACGAGCGGCGAACGGGUGAGUAACACGUGGGUGAUCUGCCCUGCACUCUGGGAUAAGCCUGGGAAACUGGGUCUAAUACCGGAUAUGACCUGCUCUCGCAUGGGGGUGGGUGGAAAGAUUUAUCGGUGCAGGAUGGGCCCGCGGCCUAUCAGCUUGUUGGUGGGGUAAUGGCCUACCAAGGCGACGACGGGUAGCCGACCUGAGAGGGUGACCGGCCACACUGGGACUGAGACACGGCCCAGACUCCUACGGGAGGCAGCAGUGGGGAAUAUUGCACAAUGGGCGAAAAGCCUGAUGCAGCGACGCCGCGUGAGGGAUGAAGGCCUGGUGUAAACCUCUUCAG